GGACUAACUAGGCUCAAAAGAUUCAUCUCGUAAAUUACAGGCAAACUGUACAAUUAGUUUUUAUUUUUAUUUUUAUUUAAUGUUUCAUGUAUACGUUUAAAGAUUCGAUGUGACGAGGAAUUUUGAAAAUUUUUGGAAACUAAACAAGACCAUAUCUACCUAUGGCAUUCGGUUGUUUUGUAGGGGCGAGGCAACACCCGGUGCAUUUGUGUGUAGGUGCCUGGGCCCUGGGUGGGUGG
This 239-nucleotide long non-coding RNA is filed under the name Sorghum bicolor (sorghum). Its description in RNAcentral is "long non-coding RNA (SBIC_LNC016728)". Lineage: Eukaryota; Viridiplantae; Streptophyta; Magnoliopsida; Poales; Poaceae. The record is from RNAcentral.